GACGAACGCUGGCGGCGUGCCUAAUACAUGCAAGUUGAGCGCUGAAGGUUGGUACUUGUACCAACUGGAUGAGCAGCGAACGGGUGAGUAACGCGUGGGGAAUCUGCCUUUGAGCGGGGGACAACAUUUGGAAACGAAUGCUAAUACCGCAUAAAAACUUUAAACACAAGUUUUAAGUUUGAAAGAUGCAAUUGCAUCACUCAAAGAUGAUCCCGCGUUGUAUUAGCUAGUUGGUGAGGUAAAGGCUCACCAAGGCGAUGAUACGUAGCCGACCUGAGAGGGUGAGCGGCCACAUUGGGACUGAGACACGGCCCAAACUCCUACGGGAGGCAGCAGUAGGGAAUCUUCGGCAAUGGACGAAAGUCUGACCGAGCAACGCCGCGUGAGUGAAGAAGGUUUUCGGAUCGUAAAACUCUGUUGGUAGAGAAGAACGUUGGUGAGAGUGGAAAGCUCAUCAAGUGACGGUAACUACCCAGAAAGGGACGGCUAACUACGUG
RNAcentral lists this ribosomal RNA (497 nucleotides) under uncultured bacterium. RNAcentral describes it as "partial 16S ribosomal RNA". It matches the Rfam family "Bacterial small subunit ribosomal RNA", at positions 28 to 507 of the family's 1533-position model. The record is from RNAcentral.